Molecule: ribosomal RNA, 402 nt
Filed under: uncultured bacterium
Lineage: Bacteria
Description: bacterial SSU rRNA
Rfam family: Bacterial small subunit ribosomal RNA
Source: RNAcentral
UGGGGGAUAUUGCACAAUGGGCGAAAGCCUGAUGCAGCAACGCCGCGUGAACGAUGAAGGUCUUCGGAUCGUAAAGUUCUGUUGCAGGGGAAGAUAAUGACGGUACCCUGUGAGGAAGCACCGGCUAACUACGUGCCAGCAGCCGCGGUAAUACGUAGGGUGCUAGCGUUAUCCGGAUUUACUGGGCGUAAAGGGUGCGUAGGUGGUCUUUCAAGUCGGUGGUUAAAGGCUACGGCUCAACCGUAUUAAGCCGCCGAAACUGGAAGACUUGAGUGCAGGAGAGGAAAGUGGAAUUCUCAGUGUAGCGGUGAAAUGCGUAGAUAUUGGGAAGAACACCAGUAGCGAAGGCGGCUUUCUGGACUGCAACUGACACUGAGGCACGAAAGCGUGGGUAGCAAACAG